UCCUUCGUGGUGUAGUGGUCAGCACGCUCGACGUGUAACCGAGAGGUCCGUGGUUCGAUUCCUGGCGAAGGCG
Molecule: transfer RNA, 73 nt
Filed under: Stegodyphus mimosarum
Lineage: Eukaryota; Metazoa; Arthropoda; Arachnida; Araneae; Eresidae
Rfam family: tRNA
About the family: Transfer RNA (tRNA) molecules are approximately 80 nucleotides in length. Their secondary structure includes four short double-helical elements and three loops (D, anti-codon, and T loops).
Source: Rfam by way of RNAcentral